GAACGCUGGCGGCGUGCUUAACACAUGCAAGUCGAACGAGAACGGAUUAUAGCUUGCUAUAAUUGUCAGCUAAGUGGCGCACGGGUGAGUAAUGUAUAGAUAACCUGCCCUCAAGAAAGGAAUAACAGUUGGAAACGACUGCUAAUGCCCUAUAUGCCUUUAAUACAUAAGUAUGCAAGGGAAACGCUUUAGUGCUUGAGGAUGGGUCUGUAUGGUAUCAGUUAGUUGGUGGGGUAAUGGCCUACCAAGACAAUGACGCCUAACUGGUUUGAGAGGAUGAUCAGCCACACUGGGACUGAGACACGGCCCAGACUCCUACGGGAGGCAGCAGUGGGGAAUAUUGGACAAUGGGCGAAAGCCUGAUCCAGCAAUGCCGCGUGAGUGAUGAAGGCCUUAGGGUUGUAAAGCUCUUUUACCCGAGAUGAUAAUGACAGUAUCGGGAGAAUAAGCUCCGGCUAACUCCGUG
RNAcentral lists this ribosomal RNA (466 nucleotides) under uncultured bacterium. RNAcentral describes it as "bacterial SSU rRNA". It matches the Rfam family "Bacterial small subunit ribosomal RNA", at positions 31 to 507 of the family's 1533-position model. The record is from RNAcentral.